AGUGAGGUCACUUUACAAGUUCCAAGAUCAUCCUCAGCACACACUGACAACAUGCUGGGGACCCUCUGUACUCUCAUCACUGCUCUAACAUGUGUGAGUGGUGUGACGGUGGUGACACAGAAGCCUCCUGUUCUGACGGUGAGGAAAGGAGAGACAGCCACCAUGGACUGUAACCUGGGGACUGUUACUGACCAAAGUGCUCGGUGGUACAGACAGAUCCCAGGAGAAGUUCCUCUCUAUAUGCUGAGGUUCCGUCAUGACUGGAGUUCCCCCGAAUAUGACACUGGGUUCCCUUCUGCAAGACACACAUCCACUCAUCAGUCAACAUCAGAUUACCGUUUGAUUAUCAGCAGUGUGGAAGAAGGAGACUCUGCAGUUUACUACUGUCACACAUGGGACGGCUCUGUUAAAGAGCACGCAUCACAGUGAUUUAUGCCGUGACAAAAACCCUAACACAAACACUUCUGCUUUUUGAGUAAAAGAGGCAUAGACUGUCCAAGAGGCGCACAUUACAUUUGGCCUCAGUAACCAACUGGUAAUAUUUCAGUUACUGCAUUUUGAGCUUUUAACUUUUGUUGGUUCAUAAAUAUAAAGGGUGUUAAACAGCCAGGCUCCUUCCCUUUCACCUCUUGUUCCAGGUAUCAGGCAAUAUUUUUUCCUUGUUUAAACCCUGGUC
Non-coding RNA from Fundulus heteroclitus (mummichog), 676 nucleotides. The record is from the annotation of a RefSeq genome assembly. Lineage: Eukaryota; Metazoa; Chordata; Actinopteri; Cyprinodontiformes; Fundulidae.